This 253-nucleotide ribosomal RNA is filed under the name uncultured bacterium. RNAcentral's name for it is "partial 16S ribosomal RNA". It matches the Rfam family "Bacterial small subunit ribosomal RNA", at positions 524 to 776 of the family's 1533-position model. The record is from RNAcentral.
UACAGAGGUCUCAAGCGUUGUUCGGAUUCAUUGGGCGUAAAGGGUGCGUAGGCGGCGGGGCAAGUCGGAUGUGAAAUCUCAGGGCUCAACCCUGAAACUGCAUUCGAUACUGCCUUGCUCGAGGACUGGAGAGGAGAUUGGAAUUCACGGUGUAGCAGUGAAAUGCGUAGAGAUCAUGAGGAAGACCAGUGGCGAAGGCGGGUCUCUGGACAGUUCCUGACACUGAGACACGAAGGCCAGGGGAGCAAACAGG